CACGUAGGCGGACUAUUAAGUAGAGGGUGAAAUCCCAGGGCUCAACCCUGGAACUGCCUUCUAUACUGGUAGUCUUGAGUUCGAGAGAGGUGAGUGGAAUUCCGAGUGUAGAGGUGAAAUUCGUAGAUAUUCGGAGGAACACCAGUGGCGAAGGCAGCUCACUGGCUCGAUACUGACGCUGAGGUGCGAAAGUGUGGGGAGCAAACAGGAUUAGAUACCCUGGUAGUCC
This 229-nucleotide ribosomal RNA is filed under the name uncultured bacterium. RNAcentral describes it as "partial 16S ribosomal RNA". It matches the Rfam family "Bacterial small subunit ribosomal RNA", at positions 568 to 796 of the family's 1533-position model. The record is from RNAcentral.